This 253-nucleotide ribosomal RNA is filed under the name uncultured prokaryote. RNAcentral describes it as "partial 16S ribosomal RNA". It matches the Rfam family "Bacterial small subunit ribosomal RNA", at positions 524 to 776 of the family's 1533-position model. The record is from RNAcentral.
UACAGAGGUCCCAAGCGUUGUUCGGAUUCACUGGGCGUAAAGGGUGCGUAGGUGGUGAGGUAAGUCGGAUGUGAAAUCUCCGAGCUCAACUCGGAAAUGGCAUUGGAAACUACCUUGCUCGAGGGUUGGAGGGGGGACUGGAAUGCUUGGUGUAGCAGUGGAAUGCGCAGAUAUCAGGAGGAACACCGAUGGCGAAGGCAGGUCACUGGGCCGCAACUGACGCUGAGGAGCGAAAGCAUGGGGAGCGAACAGG